RNAcentral lists this ribosomal RNA (465 nucleotides) under uncultured bacterium. Its description in RNAcentral is "partial 16S ribosomal RNA". It matches the Rfam family "Bacterial small subunit ribosomal RNA", at positions 339 to 795 of the family's 1533-position model. The record is from RNAcentral.
CUACGGGGCGCAGCAGUGAGGAAUUUUGCGCAAUGGGGGAAACCCUGACGCAGCAACGCCGCGUGAGUGAGGAAGGCCUUAGGGUCGUAAAGCUCUGUCAGGUGGAAAGAAAUGUUCGUAGGUUAAUACCCUGCGUUCUUGACGGUACCACCAGAGGAAGCACCGGCAAACUCCGUGCCAGCAGCCGCGGUAAUACGGGGGGUGCAAGCGUUGUUCGGAAUUAUUGGGCGUAAAGAGCGUGUAGGCGGCUGAGUAAGUCAGAUGUGAAAGUCCUGGGCUUAACCCGGGAAGUGCAUUUGAAACUGCUUGGCUUGAGUAAGAGAGGGGAAAGUGGAAUUCCUGGUGUAGAGGUGAAAUUCGUAGAUAUCAGGAGGAACACCGGUGGCGAAGGCGGCUUUCUGGCUUUAUACUGACGCUGAGACGCGAAAGCGUGGGUAGCAAACGGGAUUAGAUACCCCAGUAGUC